CAGUGGGGAAUCUUGCGCAAUGGGGGAAACCUUGACGCAGCAACGCCGCGUGGGUGAUGAAGGCCUUCGGGUCGUAAAGCCCUGUCAGGUGGGAAGAAACUUGUGGAUGUUAAUACCAUCCGCACUUGACGGUACCACCGGAGGAAGCACCGGCUAACUCCGUGCCAGCAGCCGCGGUAAUACGGAGGGUGCAAGCGUUGUUCGGAAUUAUUGGGCGUAAAGCGCGUGUAGGCGGUCAGGUAAGUCAGAUGUGAAAGCCUUCUGCUUAACAGAAGAAGUGCAUUUGAAACUGCUUGGCUAGAGUACGGGAGAGGAGAGUGGAAUUCCCGGUGUAGAGGUGAAAUUCGUAGAUAUCGGGAGGAACACCAGUGGCGAAGGCGGCUCUCUGGUCCGAUACUGACGCUGAGACGCGAAAGCGUGGGGAGCAAACAGGAUUAGA
RNAcentral lists this ribosomal RNA (439 nucleotides) under uncultured bacterium. RNAcentral describes it as "bacterial SSU rRNA". It matches the Rfam family "Bacterial small subunit ribosomal RNA", at positions 352 to 782 of the family's 1533-position model. The record is from RNAcentral.